This 66-nucleotide transfer RNA is filed under the name Kikihia sp. 'flemingi'. RNAcentral's name for it is "tRNA-His". The record is from RNAcentral. Lineage: Eukaryota; Metazoa; Arthropoda; Insecta; Hemiptera; Cicadidae.
AUUCAAUUAGUUUAAUAAAAANUAUUAAAUUGUGAUUUUAAAGAUAAAANAAAAAUUUAUUGGAUA